AUCUUGGCAACCUUUAUUCACUGGGUUUGACACUCUACAGCUCGCACACACAAACUGCACACACACACUAGCACCUCUGGCUACACACGCCAGGUGCCAUGGAGCCUACACACGGAAGCCUACAUCUUGCCUCUUGUCUAGACUACUCUACACACAACGCAAGCUCUUAAAAUAGCCUCACGCACGCACACAACCGGGGCAACAAACCUAGCCUGGUUUUUUGCCACUAACCCACGCACCCAGUAACCAAUUGUGCAUGCACACGCGCAUGCACACAACUAGCCAACUAAUUCAACCGGCCACACAUGACCCGGCCGUGCAUGUAGUUGAACGAACCCAAGAUCAGAAUUGUCUAGACUACAUCUUGCCUAACACACGGAAGCCUACAUCUUGCCUCUUGUCUAGACUACUAACAUUGCAUGGUCACGGACGCCGACGGUGGAGGGGCGGGCUCAGAGGUAGUAGCCCCAACGCGAGCGCAGACGAAGGAGCGUCGGGCCGCUGCACUGGCUGCCCAAUCAUGUCAAUAGCAUCGAAGUAGACCAUAGUACUAUUUCAUACGGUUUGGCUCCGGGUGCCUUCAUGCUCUUUGCGCCAAAUCUUCUUUGCUCUAGGGUCAAAAGGAAUUGUUAUACCAUAAGGCCUCCUUUAGUUCAUAGGAUAGAAAUGUUGUAGGAAUAGAAAAAUCAUAGAAAGUGAGAUGACAUGCAUCUCAAUUCCUAUAGAGAAAGAGAUGUCAUUUGAUGCAUAGGAUAGGAAUUUUUCCAUUGAGUCUUAACUAAUGUUUUUUUCCUCCAAAAUGUGAAGGAUUGAUUCCUAUCCUAUAUAGGAAUAGGAAUCCAUUCCUACAAAUCAAAGAGCCUCAAAGGAAUUUUUCUAUGCAAAUCCUAUCCUAUAGAAAUUCUAUGACAUUCCUACAAACCAAAGGAGGCCUAAUGGGAAGUGGUCCAUGGCGUGGAGUCGAAGUGUGUUCUUACUGAUUGAUUAUAUUCUAACUGCAUCAAAUUAAACUCUCAUGCUGUACAAAUCAUGCUUAAUAGUUGAACACAAAUUAAUAUUUUUCUCCCAACUUCCCUGCGCCACUAAAUUACUGGCUUUGGUGAAACGACUUGAAUUGAUCAGCUCGUGGAGAAGGAUGCUGACGCAUCAAUACAUCGUUUUGGAAGGCGAUGAACUCCGUUGACAGGGUAGACAUUAGACAACAUGCUCAUGAACAUGGCCGUGAUGAUGAAGCAGCAGGACCACGACGAGAAGAAGGAAAUAUAAGCCACCAGGUCGUCCAGGCACCUCCACUCCACGCAGGCCCAGGAGUCACUCGAUAAGCUACUCUUCGACCUCUACAAGGUGCAUGUUGUUGGAAAUAUGAGCAAAUUACUAUGAGAUUUAAUCCGAAUAAACAGAAGAUAAAUCAUGACCACAGCAGCAGAGAUUAAAUUAAUCAUGCGAACUAGCAUAGCAGAUGAACAUAUCACAUCUAGGGCACAUACUAGAAAUAUGAAUUCUACCACGAUCUCGAACAGGAAGGAUAGAAUCACAUACGGUGCAGCACCGCCGGCGUUGACGGUGUCGCCCUUGUCGUCGAGGAUGGGUUGCCGAGGUCGGGGAAGAGGUCGUCGUUCGCGAAGUCGUCGCUGCCAGCAGUCGCGCGAGUGCGCUCCCCAAAAACCUGAUCUCCCCUCUCUCGUACAGGAUCACGAGAGGCGGGGUUUCGGAGGCCUGCUGUCCCUUCUCGCGGUGCACGCCGGAAGGAGGGAUGGAGAAGACUUGCUUGGCGGCGCAAUGAUCUGGAACGGUGGUGAGAAACCAUACGAAGCGGCGGCGGCUAGGGUAGACGUCUGCCUGACUAUAUAGUGCGGGCCGGGUAGGUCGUGGGAGUAAACCCCACGUCCGAGUCAUCACGAUCCAAAAAAAUCGGAAACGGUUCAGUAAUUAAUGCGUCCGUUAAAUAUUAAUUAAUGACUCAUUAAUUUUUCCAUGCAGCAAAAAUAUAGACAACGUGCAUAGCUCUGUCCUCGGCUCGGCUCAAUCCCGCAACCCGCAACCUGCGGCGCGUCGUGACGAGGCGUGGUGAGGCGAGCGAGGAGGAGGAGCGCGCGUGUAGGUCUUCUCUUCUCAUGCUCAUACAAGUGGUAGAAGAGCUCACCUUAUAAAGAGGUGCAACUCUCUCUCAACUUCCGGGGUGGGACUAAACUUUAGCCUCACUCACUCCAUUCAUAUGUGUGCAUGAAUGGGCCAAGAGAAUUUCAGAAUUUUAGUUGGGCUUUGGGCCAAAGGCCUGCUAGCAAAAUUCCAACAAUCCCCCAUAAAGUCUCAUUGGCACAUCUCAUCAUUUAGUUCCAAAACAUUGUUUUAUAUAUCGGUGCUUAGUGGAGACUGUGAAGUUGAACUUCCACUGAGAAAUUUAUGCUACACUAGAUCACAACUUGAAUAGUGGACUAUGCCUUAAACUACAAGUUUUCUGUGAAACUAGUUUCACAUAAAUUCUUGACCGAUACUGGGCUGCCGCAAGGCUUCCCCGCGGGUGGAGCGUAUACGUCAUACUCCAGGGUCUUUCAUGAAUUUAUUAAAGAACACCCAAUUCUCACAGACUGCGACGUUAACAGUCAAAUUCAUAUAGGUGUGUUCCUCAGAAGAUGUUCUGCAGGACAACAUCUCUGCUUACCCGAAUAAGCCACUUGGAACACAUUAAGAUAAGUAUCAACCUGCCAUGCAGAUCAGGAGAGUAUUGCAUCUUCACGGAGUGGGAUAAUUAAUAUAGGGAUACUCUCCUCCCAGCUGACCAACAGCUUGUCUCCCACUUCUACUUCACCGGAUCUCCGAUCACAUAGAGUGGGUUACCACUAUGGACAACUCAUGCGGUGGGUCUCAAACCCAUCUCCAUCGAUGCAUUAUCUAUCACAUUACGUGAUAGACCCUUUGUGAAGGGAUCUGCCAAGUUUUUCGACGUUUGGAUAUAAUCCAACAUAAUAACUCCGGAGUUCCUCAAUUUUCUGACAGAUUUUAGUCUCCUUUUCACAUGCCUUGAGGACUUCAUAUUGUCCUUAGAACUGUUUAUCUUGACGAUCACAGUUUGAUUAUCACAGUUCAUCGGGAUAGGGAGUAUUGGUAUUUCAACCAUAGGUAAGUCCAUCAAGAGUUCACGAAGCCACUCUGCUUCAACAGUGGCAGUGUCUAAUGUUGUGAGUUCUGCUUCCAUAGUUGACCUUGUUAAGAUGGUCUGCUUGCAAGACUUCCAGGAAACAGCGCCACCACCAAGUGUAAAAACAUAACCACUUGUGGCCUUAAUCUCAUCAGCAUCAGAUAUCCAGUUUGAGUCACUAUAACCCUCCAGUACCCUUGGAUACCCGGUGUAGUGAAUCCCAUAGCUCGUGGUGCCUUUCAAAUAGCGCAUAACUCUCUCAAGCGCAUGCCAAUGAUCAUCUCCCGGUUUUGACACAAACCGACUCAGCUUGCUCACAGCAAAAGAGAUGUUAGGCCUCGUGGCACUCGCCAAAUACAUAAGCGAGCCAAUAAUCUGAGAAUACCUCAGUUGAUCUCUAGCAAUCCGUCGAUUCUUUCGAAGCAACACACUAGCAUCAUAUGGAGUUGGAGAAGGCGUGCAGUCGCUAUACCCAAAACGACUCAAGACCUUUUCCACAUAAUGAGACUGAAGCAGUGUGAUCCCACCAUUCUCAUCUCUCAACAGCUUGAUGUUUAAGAUAACAUCAGCUACUCCUAGAUCCUUCAUCUCAAAACAGCGAGAUAAGAAAUCCUUAACCUCCUUGAUUAAAUCAAGUUUGGUUCCAAAGAUCAAUAUGUCGUCCACAUACAGACAAAGAAUAACUUCUUCGCCCCCACCAUAGCGAUAGUACACGCACUUGUCACCAUCAUUUACUACAAAGCCGGCAGCAGUUAAUGUUCUUUCGAACUUCUCAUGCCACUCCUUAGGAGCUUGUUUAAGGCCAUAUAAAGACUUUAAUAACUUGUACACCUUUCCUUCCUGACCAGGUACUCCAAAACCAUCUGGCUGAUCCAUGUAAAUUUCCUCCUUCAACUCUCCAUUGAGGAAAGCCGCCUCAAUGUCCAUUUGAUGAACGAGAAGACUAUGUGAGGCAGCCAGUGAUAGUAGCACCUGAAUUGUGGUCAGUCUAGUCACGGGUGAGUAAGUAUCAAAGAAGUCUUCACUUUCUUUCUGGGUAUAACCCUUGGCCACAAGCCGUGCCUUGUACUUUUCAAUCGUACCAUCAGGUCUAAGCUUCUUCUUGAACACCCACUUACAUCCUACAGGUUUGCACCCAUAAGGACGGUCAGUGAUCUCCCAGGUACCAUUAGCUAAGAUGGAAUCCAUCUCGCUACGUACAGCUUCCUUUCAGUAGUCAGCAUCAAGAGAUGCAUAGGCUUCUGAAAUAGUCCUGGUUGUGUCAUCCACGAGGUACACAAUGAAAUCAUCACCAAAAGACUUUGCAGUCCUCUGUCUCUUACUCCUCACAGGAGUUCCAUUGUUACCCUCAACAGGAUUCUCAACGUGAUCCAUCGCAAUGGUGGGUUCAGGAAUUACAGUGAAUUCCUCACUAGAUGGAGUAGGUAUCUCCUGAUUUGAUGAACUCGACAUAUCCUUCAUAGGAAAUAUGUCCUCAAAGAAAGUUGCAUCAUUUGAUUCCAUAAUCGUACCAACAUGCAUGUCGGAUACCUCAGAUUUUAUUAUCAAAAAUCUAUAGCCGAUGCUAUGAAAAGCAUAGCCCAGAAAUACACAAUCCACGAUUUUUGGUCCAAGCUUGCGCUUCUUGGGAAUUGGUAUAUUGACUUUCGCCAAACAACCGCAAGUACGUAGGUAAAAGAGUUUCAACCUUUUCCUUUCCCAUUCAUCAAAUGGAGUCAUGGUCUUAUGCUUUGUGGGAACUCGGUUUAGGACAUGACACGCAGUCAUUAGCGCCUCCCCCCACCAUUCCUUGGAUAGACCCAAAGUGUCUAACAUGGUGUUAACCAUAUCAGUUAGAGUUUGGUUCUUUCUUUCCGCUACCCCAUUUGACUGGGGUGAGUAGGGAGGCGUCCUCUCAUGGAUUAUACCAUGUUCCGCACAAAACAGAUCAAAUUCAUUGGAAAAAUACUCUCCACCACGAUCGGACCUAAGCCGUUUAAUUUUUCGAUCAAGUUGGUUCUCUGCCUCAGCUUUAUAGUUUUUAAAGAAAGUCAAAGCCUCAUCUUUUGAUUUCAGAAGAUACACAUAACAAUAUCUAGUGGAGUCAUCAAUCAACGUCAUGAAGUAUCUCUUUCCACCUUUUGUCAACACGCCAUUCAUCUCACAAAGAUCAGAAUGUAUAAGCUCUAGUGGCGCCAAGUCUCUUGCCUCUGCAGUCUUAUGUGACUUGCGAGGUUGCUUAGCUUGCACACAUACUUGGCACUUGGAGCCUUUGACAGUAGAGAUUUUCGGAAUUAAAUUCAUAUUGGCUAACCGCGUCAUGCAACCAAAGUUAAUAUGACAGAGUCAUGAAUGCCAAAUAUCAGACUCAUUAUUGUGGCAAACAUUAUUAAUAACUUUAGUGCAAAUAUCUGACAAAGAUAGGCGGAACAAGCCUCCGCACUCAUAGCCUUUUCCAACAAAUUGCCCACACUUAGAAAUUACAACUUUAUUGGAUUCGAAAACCAACUUAAAACCAUCUCGACAGUCAUAACCUAGGGUGACACAGAACUAGCGGAGAACAGUAUAGCAAUGAAAAAGUAAAUAAGCGGAGAACAGUAUAUGAAAAGCUCGUAGGCAAUGGACCGGUGAUGGAAAAUUAUGCCAGAUGCGGUUCAUCAUGUAACAGUCAUAACCUAGGGUGACACAGAACUAGCUCCAGUUCAUUGAUAUAAUGUAGGCAUGUAUUCCGAAUAUAGUCAUACGUGCUUAUGGAAAAGAACUUGCAUGACAUCUUUUGUCCUACCCUCCCGUGGCAGCGGGGCCCUUACGGAAACUAAGGGAUAUCAAGGCCUCCUUUUAAUAGAGAACCGGAACAAAGCAUUAACACAUAGUGAAUACAUGAACUCCUCAAACUACGGUCAUCACCGGUAAGUAUUCUGAUAAUUGUCACUUCGGGAUUAACGGAUCAUAACACAUAAUAGGGGACUAUAGACUUGCAAGAUAGGAUCUAGAACUCUCAUAUAUUGAUGAAAACAUAAUAGGUUCGGAUCUGAAAUCAUGGCACUCGGGCCCUAGUGACAAGCAUUAAGCAUAGCAAAGUCAUAGCAACAUCAAUCUCAGAACAUAGUGGAUACUAGGGAUCAAACCCUAACAAAACUAACUCGAUUACAUGAUAGAUUCCAUCCAACCCAUCACCGUCCAGCAAGCCUACGAUGAAAUUACUCACGCAUGGCGGUGCAUUAUGAAAUUGGUGAUGGAGGAUGGUUGAUGAUGACGAUGGCGACGGGUUCCCCUCUCUGGAGCCCUGAACGGACUCCAGAUCAGCCCUCCCGAGAGGUUUUAGGGCUUGGCGGCAGCUCCGUAGCGUAAAACGUGAUGAUUUCUUCUCUCUCAUUUUUUUCUCCUCGAAACACAAUAUAUGGAGUUGGAGUUGGAGUCGGAGAGGCAACAGAGAGCCCAUGAGGUAGGGGCGCCCUAGGGGGGCAGGCGCGCCCCCCACCCUCGUGGAGAGGUGGUGGGCCCCCUGGCCUUCAUCUUUUGCAUGUAUUUUUCAUAUUUUCUGAAAAGUUGCUCCAUGAAGUUUCAGGUCAUUCCGAGAAUGUUUGUUUCUGCACAUAAAUAACACCAUGGUAAUUCUGCUGAAAACAGCGUCAGUCCAGGUUAGUUUCAUUCAAAUCAUGCAAUUCAGAGUCCAAAACAAGGGCAAAAGUGUUUGGAAAAGUAGAUACGACGGAGACGUAUCAGUGCACGAAGCUAGGAGUGUAUAUUGUGUGGCUAGAUGGUACACGGUAGCAAAUAAGAAAGAACAACAGCGUAGUGAAUCAUGGAUCGUCGAUUUUCUAAGUGGUUUGCUUCUAGUCUUCAUGCCUUGUCAUAAUUUUCUUUGUUGGAAGAUCGAAUGACUAUUUAUGUGAGUGGUAACUUGGGUUGUAGGUUUUUCAGACAUCUCUUUUACUUGGAUCUCCAUUUCUUCAAUCCACAUAUGUUGGUUUUCUUUGUAUCAAAGGCAAUGGUGGUGUAGUGUACUGUUGUUCUUCUUCCUCUGCCAUUAUUUAUUUCCCAUGGAAAAUUGAUAGGUUAUAAACAGAACACAUGGUGAAUGUACCCUUGAAAAUAUAAGGCACCUUCAAGAAUUAUAAUAAAUUUGAUAAUACUUCUUGUGGGCAAAAUAUCAUAUAAAAUUUAUAAAAUAUCAAGGUUAUUGAGUUCAAUAUUACAUUGUUUCAUACCACCAGUAAGUAUUCCAUCAAUGAUCCAUGAAUUCACUUCAUAGUUGUGGCCUAAGAUUACCUCCUCUAGUUGAGCACCUGAAUAUUGCAGAAUUCACGAUUGAAUUGGAUUUUCAUCCAAAAGUCAUUUUACUAAACAUAGCCAUACAAAUCCAGGACUUGACACUGGUGUUAAGGACAAGGAUAAGUAUUUGAAUGUAAUCCUCUAUAUCUAAAUAUAAGAUAUUUUAGCAUUUGAUCUAAGAUCUCUUUUAUUCUCAGUGGAAAAGAUGAGAAAGAAUCAUAUGAGCAGUAAGAAUUUCCUUCAAAUAUGCAAGAGAAGUUUACCUAUGCAAGGGGUGCCAUUGCUGCAACUUCAGAUAGGGCAACAGUGUUAGUGUGGUGCACAACCUGAGAAAGUGUUAUGGGGACUCGAAAUCCAGAUGCAGGUCAAUGAUCCCAACAAAAGGCGAUCCAACAAGCCUUGAACAAAGAGCUAAACAGAAAGUUCACAAAAAAUGCAAGGUAAAGUUUAGGAAAAAGUAUUUAGAAGAUCACUGCGAUGUGCUUUUGGGACCAACGGAAUGGACAUAGCAAGGCAUAUUUCUAUGAAAGCACGGUGGACCUCGUUCUGAAAGAUGGCGACGCGGAAUGGACUAUUUUUUGGCAUCGCUCGCUCGGGCUUGCAGAUAGAAGGAUGAAAGACGAAUAGUAUAAUGUAAGAAAGAAAUAAGUAUGUACCCAAAUGUAUAGAAAAAAUGCCAAUAGGUAUAUGCCGGGCUGCAGAUUUUUUUUCUUGUUAUACAUUACAUAGCUAGAUGGCAUACACCCCGAUAAAGAGUAGCACUUCCAAAGAAAACAUAGAAUGGACAAGAAGAAAUUUUCAGAAUUAAUAACCAAGAAAAAUAGAAAUGUUAAGCAACCUCCCGAGGUAUCCAUUUAUAUGUGUUAUGCAUUUUCAGUAUCCGGGUUGAGAGUAUUGAAUAAGCCUCUUGCUUCUUCUGUUCUCCCUACUGUAAGGUCCACUGAAAACAUGAGAACCACUUGCAGGAGUCAUACUUAGAAGCAUUAAAUCUUAGUCGCAAAGUUGACAUCCAAUUCAAUGUGCAAGAAAGAGUUCAAAAGUUUGAAAGCAUAAACAUAUCGAUGAAUUUGGAAGAAGACUUCCAAGUAAUCUGCUUCCUUUCCUGACAAACACAACGUACAUGGGAAGAUUUAUGCCGAUUUGAUUGGAACAACAUGAACAUGGGAACAGUAAGAAAUAUGAGUACCUUGUAAUUUUCUUUCGAUGGUCAGACCUAAGUGGCCUAGUAGCUUCUAAAAUCGAAUUGAUGAUUUCACUUGGAGAGCAUGCGGAGGUGAAUCUUUUCUCUCUUCUAUGUCCCUGCCAAAAAUUUGUAGAGAUUAACAUAUUGCAAUGAGUUGUAGCCUCUAAAAACUUUCCAUAAUUCCAUUUUUCAAUUUUUCAAGUGAAAACCGACAUAAGCUAACUAUAGGGAGGUAAAAAAAAGCAAGGUACAUUGACAAUAAGCAUAUUAUAGAGAUCAAAUGAACAAUAGCAUGAAGUUUGAGUCGUGUUACUUAUAUCCCCCUCAAUACUCUUACACAGCCACACCCUUCUACAGGAUAUGUUGUUGUGAAAGUAUCAACUGUGCAACGAUAUGGGGAAUCAUGCUACACAUAUAUCAAUCAGUCCAGAGCCCAAGCAAGCACGUUGUAGGCUCAUGGCAGAAUCAUAUAAUUAUGCAAAUGACAUGUUAUGUAUAUAACAUGACACGUAAAGUAUUUUAUAGAAAUAAUGCCAUGCACCUUACAUCAAUUUGCCACAAUUCUUAAUUAAUGAUCAGUGCAUAAUUGUUAGCUCAUAUGUAGUUGAUUAUGUUUUCCUCUCAGAUAUAUAUGGGUCAUGUUCCAAAAAAAAAAUCGUCUAAACUAAAAAGAUAUACCAAAUCAUAGUUCUCAUCCCAAAAAUAGUUUACGUCAAAAUUAAUUCCAAUCCAUUUAUACUUAUUCUAGGGUAAUACACUUAACUCAUCAUCAACAUAAUUGUUCAUGACGGUAGUCCCUAGGUACUGAUAGGAAUGAAUUCAAAAAGGGAACCACGGUGUAACCUAGAAAUUGACACAGUACCACCACAAUUUUCAACACUUGUAGGCUGCCCAUAAUGGGAGUAUAAUAGGUAGUAUCAUGCAUGCCAACUAGUCAAUUUUGAUGAGGUGACAUAGAAUUAAAUGAGGAAAGAGAGGAUUGAGUAUCAUAUCAUGAUACUGUAUCGUAUUAAUUGAUGUGCCACUCUAUGUCAUGUAUGGCAAUAAAUAAAGUCAUAUAUGAUACCAACAUAUGAUGCUAUGCACUAGGAUGUAGUAUCAUACAAUAGUAUCAUAUGCAUGAUAUUAGUAUAUGAUACUCCCCACUACCACCAGGUUAGCUCUCCAUAGCCCCAAGCACAUCCAAUGCUUUAAUGACUUUGUAUAUUCAAUGUGCACAAAAAGGAACAAAAAUGAGGUCGUAAAUUCAAUCAGGCGCAAGCACACUUGCUUGUAAAUUAAUAUCUUCUAGUUUGAUUUUCUCAACUAUACAUUGUAUUUGUUGCACUUUUUAUUUCUCGAGUUAUUUAAUUAGCCGAAACACAUUGGUUUACGCAUAAGUUAUUGCUCUUAGUCAAUAUUGGUCCACUUGCUCAUAUAAUCCAGGACACACGUGAGCAUUGUGAUUCGGGAGUACAAACAUAUUGCUUCCUCCAUUCCAAUGAAUAAGGCGUGCGUGCCUCUCAAAAUCCAACUUUGGUCGUAAAUUAGAUCAAUAAAAAAAUUAUGACUUAAAAGUUAUAUCAUUAAAAACUUCUUUUCAAUAUGAGUUCAGUGGCAUAAUUUUUAUCACAUACAAUCCACAUUUGGUUGGUCUAAUUUAUGGUCAAAGAUGAAUUUGGGAUACGUGCAUGCCUUAUUCGUUGGAAUGGAGGGAGCAUGUGUUGUAUGUUGAAAUAUUAUAUAAGGGGGCACCUUAAUUUUCCAAGUUGCAGGUGCCCCCUUAUGUCGAAAAUUAAGGUGCCCCCUUCCAAACACAAUUUCGAACUAUAUAAGAAAUCCGCCCAAAGUUGAUCAACCUGUAAAAUGACUUGACAUAAUUUGUACCAGAAGGCUCAAGCAUCCAAAUAGGGAUAUCCUUAGCAGAAACUUUCAUUAUUUGUAAAUAAUAAGGAAUAUUAUUUCAUUUAUUUGCUAAUGUUUUGAAAAAGGUGUGCACUUUUGAAGUGUCGACAAUGCUAGAGUAAGGGCGGAUGAAAACAAUGAAGGCGAAGGGGAAGGCAAGAUGGGGACAAAGAUGAUGCGUUCUCUUCUAUCAGAGAGGGUCCUUAACGAGACAUAACAAUUGAUGUGGUGGAAAGUAAAAGAUAUAAUUAAUAUUUGUCGCAAUAUGAGUAGUACUCCCUCCGUCCCAUAAUAUAAGAACGUUUUUGACACUAGUGUAGUGUUAAAAACGUUCUUAUAUUUUGGGACAGAGGGAGUAGAAAAGAUGGUAUGCUCAUUUUUUUCUGAAUUAGAAUAAUUGUUUGAACGGAAUUGUUGUGCAUACGAUUUUUUUCGUAUGAUAGGCAUUCGAUGCUUCCAUCUCAGCAGUGGAUAUUAUUGAUUGACGUUCUUGAUUUGCACCAUCGGAGUGUUGGAUGAAAAGCAUCGAACGUGUAGCAGCACUCUUGUUUAAGUCAAUGUUUUUUCUAUUUCAUGACAAUGCACAGGCAUUCAACUAGUAAACUUAAGUGUUGAGUGAUGACGGCUGAGUUGUGUUUGCAUUUAAAGCUAGCUUACUGCAAGUGUGGACAUAGUGGUAUUCCUGAUAGGUUGGACCGAGUUUGAGGUGUUGAAAUCACUCUAGUUACUAAGCUCCCGUGAAAUAGCGAGCUCUCAGCGCUCUGGGCGGUGAAAUCGUUGUUGUCCCGCAUGUCAGUUGGUGACCAUUGCUGUUUUUUUCGCGUGGGCUUACCGGCUGGUCUUCGUGUCGUCUGCUCCUUCGUUUUUUUCUUUGUUGCAUGUCGUUGUUACCGUUAGUACAAAAGAGUCAUGCUAUGCAUACGAUAGAAAUCAGAUGAUUAACAGACGAUGAUUAAAUCAGGCCGGACAUGGAAUGAUUGAAAGAGCACCAGCCCCUAGAUUUACAUGUCGUGCAGACGUCGGGCAAAAGUAUCGGAUACAAAACGAGGGAAGUGGAUGCAUAUCCAGCUGUUGUCUCGAACCGUCCCCGGUAGAUAUUUUAUUGCGCAAAAAAGGCGAAAAAUUACCCCUCAGUUCUCCGCCUGGUUCUCCUCCUAUCUCAUACGCAGCGGAGACGCCCCAAUUCCUCCGCGGGUCAGUGCAACGACGCCAACUGCAGCGAUCGGAAAGCUCUCUCCCUCCAUAGCCACGUCUGGUUCGUUUACCUUUUUUUAGAUCGAUAGCUAGCAAGAGAGGAUCACCGGUGGGGAAGAAAUUGAGGAGAUGCGGCGGACAGGAUAGGCUUGAUCGCUGGUGGACACGCCGCGGCCAGCGAAGUUGUGUGGUCGACGGUGGCAAUGCAAGAUGGCAUUGGCCGCGGUUCAGAAUCUGGUCGGAGCUGGGCACGAGGUACGACAGGAGCGCAGGCGGCGCUGACGAUGGUGUGGUAGGAGCCGCAGGAUGGUGAGGUCGUGACUUGCAUGUUGGCGCAAACCUAGAAAUCAUACACAUAAAAUAACCCAACUCAAACACGAACUCAGAGCAAUGGCACCGAACGCCGCAGUCGCAAACCGGCCUAUAUCUUGGCAAUCUUUAUUUACUGGAUUUGACACUCUACAGCUCGCACACACAAAAUGCACACACACACACUAGCACCUCUGGCUACAUACGCCAGAUGUCAUGGAGCCUACAUAAGGAAGCCUACAUCUUGCCUCUCGUCUAGACUACUCUACACACAACGCAAGCUCUUAAAAUAGCCUCACGCACGCAUACAACCGGGGUUGGCUUGGUUUUAUGCCACUAACCCACGCACCCAGUAACCAAUUGUGCAUGCACACACACAUGCACACAACUAGCCAACUAAUUCAACCGGUCACACAUGACAUGGCCAUGCAUAUAGUUAAACGAAUCCAAAAUUAGAAUUAUACUACAAACUUCCUCUAAUUUUGAAUUUGCGUGCAUUUCUUCCUCAGACUAAUUCCACCUGACGCCAUCGCGCGCCUCCGCCUGUCGUUGUAACGUGCCAACAGCUCACCAUCGUCGGAGUUGGUGUAGCUCCUGUCGUCGAUGUCGCCGCCACAACCGUGACACCUGACCUGGCGCACCGCCACGGACCUGACCUGGCGCACUGACGUCGGUCACACUGUGCUCCGACACGACUCCGGCGACAUACGUCGAGCUCCUUCUCCGCCGGCGACACACGCCCGGCGUCCUUCCGCGCCACGCACGUCCCGCGCGCAUCCGACGCACUCGACGAGCCCGACCGCACCAGUACGUCUCGCACGUCCCGCGCGCACCCGACGCGCUCGACGAGCCCGACCACACCACACGCCGUGGACUCACAGCGUGCCGCCUCCGCGUCCGCCAUGACAGCCGCAGCGCCGCGCACCUCCACAGGCCGACACACAGCCCGAAGCUUCACCAUGCAGCUGCCGGCGAACGCCGCCACCGCCUGCACGCCUCCGGUAAGGGGACGACGCCCAAGAUGAACCAGCUCAUGAUACCAAUUGUUGGCGCAAAUUCGAAAACCAUACACACAAGAUAACCCAACUCGAGCACGAACUCACAGCAAUGGUGACGAACGCCGCGGCCGCGAACCGGCCUGUAUCUUGACAACCUUUAUUCACUAGAUUUGACACUCUACAGCUCACACACACAAACUGCACACACACACUAGCACCUCUGGCUACACACGCCAGGUGCCAUGGAGCCUACACACGGAAGCCUACAUCUUGCCUCUCGUCUAGACUACUCUACACACAACGCAAGCUCUUGAAAUAGCCUCACGCACGCACACAACCGGGGCAACAAACCUGGCUUGGUUUUGUGCCACUAACCCACGCACCAGUAACCAAUUGUGCAUGCACACGCACAUGCACACAACUAGCCAACUAAUUCAACCGGCCACACAUGACUCGGCCGUGCAUGUAGUUAAACGAACCCAAGAUCAGAAUUAUACUAACAAACUCCCCCUAAUUCUGAAUUU
This 13485-nucleotide long non-coding RNA is filed under the name Triticum aestivum (bread wheat). RNAcentral describes it as "long non-coding RNA (TAES_LNC020202)". The stretch from base 10733 to 10819 matches the Rfam family "MIR1120/MIR1122 microRNA precursor family". The record is from RNAcentral. Lineage: Eukaryota; Viridiplantae; Streptophyta; Magnoliopsida; Poales; Poaceae.